This 301-nucleotide ribosomal RNA is filed under the name uncultured bacterium. RNAcentral's name for it is "partial 16S ribosomal RNA". It matches the Rfam family "Bacterial small subunit ribosomal RNA", at positions 509 to 807 of the family's 1533-position model. The record is from RNAcentral.
CAGUCGCCGCGGUAAGACGAACCGUGCGAACGUUAUUCGGAAUCACUGGGCUUAAAGCGCGUGUAGGCGGGCCGCCACGCCGGCUGCUGAAAUCCCCCGGCUCAACCGGGGAACGGGCACCGAUACGAGCGGCCUCGAGGGGGGUAGGGGGGUCUGGAACUUCCGGUGGAGCGGUGAAAUGCGUUGAGAUCGGAAGGAACGCCCGUGGCGAAAGCGAGGCCCUGGACCCUUUCUGACGCUGAGACGCGAAAGCCAGGGGAGCGAACGGGAUUAGAUACCCCGGUAGUCCCUGUCUCUUAUU